CAGGAUAUAGUUUAUAAAAAUAUUAAUUUUGGAGAUUAAUGAUGAGAGAUUUCUCUAUCCUGA
RNAcentral lists this transfer RNA (63 nucleotides) under Curculionoidea sp. 2 KM-2017. RNAcentral's name for it is "tRNA-Pro". The record is from RNAcentral. Lineage: Eukaryota; Metazoa; Arthropoda; Insecta; Coleoptera.